GAAUAUCAGCAUGCUUCUAUUUGUAGUAUGGUUCAUGUUAGUAGCUCGAAUUCAUGGAUUUGCAUAUUCUAUUUGGAAUCUGAAUUUAGAGUAUAAUUUAAUGAUGGUAGAUAAAUUUCAUAUAUGCUGGACUGGGAUUUGACUUAGGAGAAAACUCGUUAAACCUACACUAUCCCUUUUUGAAAAGUAACCGAAUUAGCUUCAGGAGCUGUUAUUCUUUUGUAUCACCGUUGUUAGUGUGUAGUGGAUACUCAGAUUAGUGUAGGUUGAGGUUACGCUCGUGUUGAGGGACCGAGCUUGUUUUACAGUAGGGUUUGGACUGUUUUGUACUGUCAGAAGCCGUCGGGGGUUGACGGUGGACCCAGAUGUUUACAUCUUAUUUCAGAUUGAGCCGAGGGCACGUGAGCUUUGGUUGUUAGAUCAGUUUGACCCAUUUGCAUUG
This 442-nucleotide long non-coding RNA is filed under the name Ananas comosus (pineapple). RNAcentral describes it as "long non-coding RNA (ACOM_LNC014784)". The record is from RNAcentral. Lineage: Eukaryota; Viridiplantae; Streptophyta; Magnoliopsida; Poales; Bromeliaceae.